This 253-nucleotide ribosomal RNA is filed under the name uncultured bacterium. Its description in RNAcentral is "partial 16S ribosomal RNA". It matches the Rfam family "Bacterial small subunit ribosomal RNA", at positions 524 to 776 of the family's 1533-position model. The record is from RNAcentral.
UACGGAGGGUGCGAGCGUUGUCCGGAAUCACUGGGCGUAAAGGGCGCGUAGGUGGCUCGUGAAGCGUGCGGUGAAAGCCCGGGGCUCAACCCCGGGUCGGCCGUGCGAACUGUCGAGCUGGAGCACUGUAGAGGCAGGUGGAAUUCCGGGUGUAGCGGUGGAAUGCGUAGAGAUCCGGAAGAACACCGGUGGCGAAGGCGGCCUGCUGGGCAGUGGCUGACGCUGAGGCGCGACAGCGUGGGGAGCAAACAGG